GACGAACGCUGGCGGCGUGCUUAACACAUGCAAGUCGAACGGAAAGGCCCUGCUUUUGUGGGGUGCUCGAGUGGCGAACGGGUGAGUAACACGUGAGUAACCUGCCCUUGACUUUGGGAUAACUUCAGGAAACUGGGGCUAAUACCGGAUAGGAGCUCCUGCUGCAUGGUGGGGGUUGGAAAGUUUCGGCGGUUGGGGAUGGACUCGCGGCUUAUCAGCUUGUUGGUGGGGUAGUGGCUUACCAAGGCUUUGACGGGUAGCCGGCCUGAGAGGGUGACCGGCCACAUUGGGACUGAGAUACGGCCCAGACUCCUACGGGAGGCAGCAGUGGGGAAUAUUGCACAAUGGGCGGAAGCCUGAUGCAGCAACGCCGCGUGCGGGAUGACGGCCUUCGGGUUGUAAACCGCUUUCGCCUGUGACGAAGCGUGAGUGACGGUAAUGGGUAAAGAAGCACCGGCUAACUACGUGCCAGCAGCCGCGGUGAUACGUAGGGUGCGAGCGUUGUCCGGAUUUAUUGGGCGUAAAGGGCUCGUAGGUGGUUGAUCGCGUCGGAAGUGUAAUCUUGGGGCUUAACCCUGAGCGUGCUUUCGAUACGGGUUGACUUGAGGAAGGUAGGGGAGAAUGGAAUUCCUGGUGGAGCGGUGGAAUGCGCAGAUAUCAGGGGGAACACCAGUGGCGAAGGCGGUUCUCUGGGCCUUUCCUGACGCUGAGGAGCGAAAGCGUGGGGAGCGAACAGGCUUAGAUACCCUGGUAGUCCACGCUGUAAACGGUGGGUACUAGGUGUGGGGUCCAUUCCACGGGUUCCGUGCCGUAGCUAACGCUUUAAGUACCCCGCCUGGGGAGUACGGCCGCAAGGCUAAAACUCAAAGGAAUUGACGGGGCCCCGCACAAGCGGCGGAGCAUGCGGAUUAAUUCGAUGCAACGCGUAGAACCUUACCUGGGUUUGACAUGGAUCGGGAGUGCUCAGAGAUGGGUGUGCCUCUUUUGGGGUCGGUUCACAGGUGGUGCAUGGCUGUCGUCAGCUCGUGUCGUGAGAUGUUGGGUUAAGUCCCGCAACGAGCGCAACCCUUGUUCACUGUUGCCAGCACGUUAUGGUGGGGACUCAGUGGAGACCGCCGGGGUCAACUCGGAGGAAGGUGGGGAUGACGUCAAGUCAUCAUGCCCCUUAUGUCCAGGGCUUCACGCAUGCUACAAUGGCUGGUACAGAGAGUGGCGAGCCUGUGAGGGUGAGCGAAUCUCGGAAAGCCGGUCUCAGUUCGGAUUGGGGUCUGCAACUCGACCUCAUGAAGUCGGAGUCGCUAGUAAUCGCAGGUCAGCAACGCUGCGGUGAAUACGUUCCCGGG
This 1343-nucleotide ribosomal RNA is filed under the name uncultured bacterium. Its description in RNAcentral is "16S ribosomal RNA". It matches the Rfam family "Bacterial small subunit ribosomal RNA", at positions 28 to 1378 of the family's 1533-position model. The record is from RNAcentral.